CAGCCGCCACGGGAAUACGGAGGGAGCUAGCGUUGUUCGGAAUUACUGGGCGUAAAGCGCGCGUAGGCGGUUACUCAAGUCAGAGGUGAAAGCCCGGGGCUCAACCCCGGAACUGCCUUUGAAACUAGGUAACUAGAAUCUUGGAGAGGUCAGUGGAAUUCCGAGUGUAGAGGUGAAAUUCGUAGAUAUUCGGAAGAACACCAGUGGCGAAGGCGACUGACUGGACAAGUAUUGACGCUGAGGUGCGAAAGCGUGGGGAGCAAACAGGAUUAGAUACCCCCGUAGUCCCUGUCUCUUAUAA
Molecule: ribosomal RNA, 301 nt
Filed under: uncultured bacterium
Lineage: Bacteria
Description: partial 16S ribosomal RNA
Rfam family: Bacterial small subunit ribosomal RNA
Source: RNAcentral